This is a non-coding RNA of Podarcis lilfordi (Lilford's wall lizard), 77 nucleotides long. NCBI's taxonomy places the organism in Eukaryota, Metazoa, Chordata, Lepidosauria, Squamata, Lacertidae. The record is from the annotation of a GenBank genome assembly.
GUUUAGUCCAACCCCCUGUUAGUUAGAGCGUGGUGCUGAUAACGCCAAAGUUGUAGGUUCGAUCCCCAUAUGGGACG